CCUACGGGUCGCAGCAGUGGGGAAUAUUGGACAAUGGGCGCAAGCCUGAUCCAGCCAUGCCGCGUGAGUGAAGAAGGCCAUAGGGUUGUAAAGCUCUUUCACCGGUGAAGGUAAUGACGGUAACCGGAGAAGAAGCCCCGGCUAACUUCGUGCCAGCAGCCGUGGUAAUACGAAGGGGGCUAGCGUUGUUCGGAAUUACUGGGCGUAAAGCGCGCGUAGGCGGAUAGAUAAGUCAGAGGUGAAAUCCCGGGGCUCAACCCCGGAAUUGCCUUUGCUACUGUUUAUCUUGAGUGCAGAAGAGGUAAGUGGAAUUCCGAGUGUAGAGGUGAAAUUCGUAGAUAUUCGGAGGAACACCAGUGGCGAAGGCGGCUUACUGGUCUGCAACUGACGCUGAGGCGCGAAAGCGUGGGGAGCAAACAGGAUUAGAUACCCCGGUAGUC
This 440-nucleotide ribosomal RNA is filed under the name uncultured bacterium. RNAcentral describes it as "bacterial SSU rRNA". It matches the Rfam family "Bacterial small subunit ribosomal RNA", at positions 338 to 795 of the family's 1533-position model. The record is from RNAcentral.